RNAcentral lists this long non-coding RNA (1206 nucleotides) under Olea europaea subsp. europaea. Lineage: Eukaryota; Viridiplantae; Streptophyta; Magnoliopsida; Lamiales; Oleaceae. The record is from RNAcentral.
UCUCUCUCUCUCUCUCUCCUUCCACCCUCUCUAGUCUCUCUCUCAAAACCCUAGUCCAACACCGAGCACCGAAACAACCAUGAAAGGUGGCAAAAUCGGCGCCAAAAUCCCCAAUCUAAAUUGAAGGAAGAUGAAAAAUGGUGGUUAUUGCUAUUAUUUGCAAGGGUCGGAGAUGGGAUUUGCUACUAUUGCUAUUAGCCACGGUGGUCGAGAUGACGAUCUUGCAAAGUACCUCAGAAAACUCACACGGCAUGUGGUCAUAACACUAAUGGCUGCAGUCAUGGGAUGAUUGAUUUUUGGUUAUGAUAGUGGUAUAAUGGGUAUAUGAUUUUUCCUUUUAUAUAUUUCUUUUAAUUUUAUUUUUUUUCAUUACAUAAUAUGAUUGCUUGAAUCUGUAAUAAUUUUUCAUGCUUUUAUUUAUGCGAGAAUGUUUGGUCCAUGAAUAAAAUUCCACUAUCCUUAGCUGAUUUUUCUGUCCACAUCAACACAGAGCCAAAUUUAAAUUCGAGACCAUAUUGAACAUUCAGCUUCUGCUUCUCCAAAUCCAAAUCAAGGUUAGGCACUAGUCAGGGAGUAAAAGUGUGCAACUAUAUCUUGCAAAUGAGAGCUCCAUCAUUCAACUCCUUAUAGUGAAGAUUCUCAUAAACAAUUUUGGAGAGAGGGAGAGAGAGAGUGAGGGUGGGUAUGGUUGAUUGGAGAAUUUUUAUAAACAGAUAUCCAUCGGAUUGGGGGUAGGAAUGGUAGAUUGGAAUAUUUUGUGCAGAGAGAGAAUUUGUGUUGUUAUUGUUAUUUAUCUUAUAAAUAUAUGUAAUAUAUUAUUGUCAUUUAUCACCUGAUUUUUCAAAUCUUUUUCUAAGUUUGUUAAAUGUGAAAUUGUAUAGUUAAAGUGUAGUAGUUAUAUAUUUUUCCUUUUCUCUUUCCAUAAUUUUCAUUUUUCCCAAAUUGUAGGUUUUUAUUUCACUGAGGAAAGACGUGUUUCGUGGUGAAGAGUAAUGAUAUGUAGCCACACUGUUCAAUUGGCGCUAAAUAAUAGGCUAAAUGGAAGGUGGAAUUAAAUUAGGGAUAAAUAGGAUUAUGAAAUGAAUGAUUUGGUAAGGGAGCUAUUAUUUGGAGUGAUUUUAACUGCUAGCUCAUCUUUCCCUCAUCCACAUAGCCGUUUCUUCUGACAUGUUUGCAAAGCAAACAGGAAACCGACCAGGCGGCAAU